Molecule: unclassified non-coding RNA, 1336 nt
Filed under: Leishmania donovani
Lineage: Eukaryota; Euglenozoa; Kinetoplastea; Trypanosomatida; Trypanosomatidae
Description: gene:LdHU3.03.0780(CDS-product:Aminoacyl-tRNA_edi ting_domain_containing_protein_putative)
Source: RNAcentral
ACCACCACCACCACCACCCACCCCCUCCCUCUCACUUCUCCGCAUCGCCUACCGCCACCGAGCAUUCCCAGCACCGUCCCACAGCAACAGCCGGCGUGGAAAUGGAGCGCUGCAGGCAGCACCUCAUCGCCAAGGCGCCGCACCUGGCUGAGCGCGUCCAGGCGUUCGCCGAGAGCAGCGCCACCGUCGAGCUCGCGGCGAUCCGGCUGGGGUGCGAUCCGGCGCACAUCGCCAAGUCGCUGUCGUUCCUUCUGAAGAAACCGACGAGCAAGGCGGAGGCGAAGGCGCACCAGAAGAUGAUGAGGGAAGUGCGCGCGCAGCAGCAGGACGGCAGCGGGGCGGCGGGGAGCGACCGCGCGAGCGCCUCGCCCGCUGGCCCGCCCACCGCCACCGCCCCUGGCGACGCCAACAUCAUUGUGAUUGUGGCGUCGGGCGACGCGAAGGUGAGCGCGAAGAAGUACAAGGAAAAGUUUGCGUGUCAGCCCAAGAUGCUGAAGCGCGAGGAGGUGGAGCCGUACACAGGCUUCCCGCCCGGGGGCGUGUGCCCCUUCGGCCUCAACGAUGACGUCAGGGUAUACCUGGACGUCUCGCUGAAGCGCUUCCCAUAUGUGUACCCGGCGGCGGGGACGACGAACACUGGCAUCAAGGUCACGGUCGAUGAGCUCGAGCAGUACGCGUCGAACGCCGUUGAGUGGGUGGACCUCUGCGAGGGGUGGAAACCGGAGGAAGGCACCGCCGCCAAGAAGGUGGAGAGCGAGGCGUCCAAGUCGGCGGAGGCGACGGCGUAAUGCACACGUGUGCGCAUCUCUGUGCCAGUGAGCUCACGAAGAAAGUGCCGCCUGUCGAGGGCGCAUGGGAAAAGAGAGAAGGACGCAGACAGACGGUGCAUCGUGUCUUGCCUGUGGUAUGCCUAUGCGUGCGUGGCACAUCCCUUCGACGUGCUCCCUUCGCCUUGGGAGGUGAUGCCGCCUCAGAUCUCCGGCUCUGCCCCAGUCACACGCACACGUGGCACGAACACGCAGGCGCAGAGGUGCGUGUUUCCAUCCCUCCCUCCCUCUCUCUCUCUCUCUCUCUCUCUGUGCGUGCGUGCGCGUCGGACAGUCACGCAGCUUCGAGUCUUCCAAGUCGCAUGCGAUGCGCUUGCCCCUCCCCCUUCUCCCUCUUUUCUUCCUCCAACGCCCAUGUGCGGUAGGGCCAAGUCCUUUCACUUCCAGAAAGCGCUGAGAACGAGAGCCCUUGGCCAACGGACUCCUCCGCCCUCCCCUGUCAGUGCCGCCUCUUUCGGCUGUGCCCGUAGCUUGUUGCUGCCACUCUUCUCUGCCUGUGUGCGUCGGUC